AGAGGUGACUAAUCAGCUCAUGAAGCAUCUCCAUCCUACUUCGUCUCACCAAACACGCCAACUCUUGCUCCAGAAAAUACUUUGUUCCUACGAGAAAGCUCUUUUCAUUCUGAAUUGGAACGGUUUCGAUGUUGGAACUAAGCCCGCGUUUCAAUCCUACCCAA
This is a long non-coding RNA of Hibiscus syriacus, 164 nucleotides long. RefSeq lists it as uncharacterized. The record is from RefSeq and is a predicted model, not a curated record. NCBI's taxonomy places the organism in Eukaryota, Viridiplantae, Streptophyta, Magnoliopsida, Malvales, Malvaceae. The transcript has 3 exons.